RNAcentral lists this small RNA (136 nucleotides) under Fukomys damarensis (Damara mole-rat). RNAcentral describes it as "7SK RNA (ENSFDAG00000002550.1)". It matches the Rfam family "7SK RNA", at positions 116 to 246 of the family's 331-position model. Rfam says of the family: 7SK was discovered as an abundant small nuclear RNA in the mid-70s but a possible function has only recently been suggested. Two independent studies have found that 7SK RNA binds the CDK9/cyclin T complex (known as elongation factor P-TEFb). P-TEFb activates transcription by phosphorylating the C-terminal domain of RNA polymerase II. The record is from RNAcentral. Lineage: Eukaryota; Metazoa; Chordata; Mammalia; Rodentia; Bathyergidae.
CCCCUCCCAAAGCUGUGCACAUGGUUAAAGAAGACGACCACCCCCAUAGAGGAGGCCCAUUUCCUCAGCCAAGGGUAUACAAGUGGCUGUUGCUCCCUUGCUAGAGCCUCCAAACAAGUCCCCAUCCAGAGUCAUC